CCUACGGGAGGCAGCAGUGGGGAAUAUUGGACAAUGGGCGAAAGCCUGAUCCAGCAAUGCCGCGUGAGUGAUGAAGGCCUUAGGGUUGUAAAGCUCUUUUACCAGGGAUGAUAAUGACAGUACCUGGAGAAUAAGCUCCGGCUAACUCCGUGCCAGCAGCCGCGGUAAUACGGAGGGAGCUAGCGUUGUUCGGAAUUACUGGGCGUAAAGAGUACGUAGGCGGUUAUUCAAGUCAGAGGUGAAAGCCCGGGGCUCAACCCCGGAACGGCCUUUGAAACUAGGUAGCUAGAAUCUUGGAGAGGUCAGUGGAAUUCCGAGUGUAGAGGUGAAAUUCGUAGAUAUUCGGAAGAACACCAGUGGCGAAGGCGACUGACUGGACAAGUAUUGACGCUGAGGUACGAAAGCGUGGGGAGCAAACAGGAUUAGAUACCCUGGUAGUCCACGCCGUAAACGAUGAUAACUAGUUGUUCGGGCACUUGGUGCCUGAGUGACGCAGCUAACGCAUUAAGUUAUCCGCCUGGGGAUACGGUCGCAAGAUUAAAACUCAAAGGAAUUGACGGCUGAGAGNGCGAGACGACACGAGGAGAGG
This 589-nucleotide ribosomal RNA is filed under the name uncultured bacterium. Its description in RNAcentral is "bacterial SSU rRNA". It matches the Rfam family "Bacterial small subunit ribosomal RNA", at positions 338 to 944 of the family's 1533-position model. The record is from RNAcentral.